AUCUCUUUGGGAUCCUGCUGACCCCAUACCCCAUCUUUUGGGGUUCUUUUGGCCCUGCUGACCCCAUACCCCAUCUUCGGGCUCCUCCUGGCCAUGGUGGCCCCAAUAGGAUCUUUUUGGGCUCCCGCUGACCCCGUUUGCCCCCCCUUUGCCCCCCUUUCCCCCCAGGCUGUCCAACGUGGUUCUUUGGGAUUCUCCUGGCCCUGCUGACCCCAUACCCCAUCUUUUGGGGUUCCCUGGCUCUGCUGACCCCAUAUCCCAUCUUUUGGGAUCCUCCUGCCCAUGUUAACCCCAAUGGGGCAAUUUUGGGAUUCUCCUGGCCCUGCUGACCCCAUCUCCCAUCUUUUGGGCUCCUCCUGGCCAUGGUGGCCCCAAUAGGAUCUUUUUGGGCUCCUCCUGGCCCUGCUGACCCCAUAUCCCAUCUUUUGAGCUCUUUUAGGCCUGCUGACCCCAUAUGCCAUCCUUUGGGAUUCUCCUGGCUCUGCUGACCCCAUACCCCAUCCUUUGGGUUCUUUUGGCCCUGCUGACCCCAUACCCCAUCUUUGGGCUCCUCCUGGCCAUGCUGACCCCAUACCCCAUCUUUUGGGGUUCUCCUGGCCCUGCUGACCCCAUACCCCAUCCUUUGGGAUUCUCUUGGCCAUGGUGGCCCUAAUAGGAUCUUUUUGGGCUCCUCCUGGCCAUGGUGGCCCCAAUAGGAUCUUUUUGGGCUCCUGCUGACCCCUUUGCCCCCCCCUUUGCCCCCCUUUGCCCCCAGGCUGUCCAACGUGGUGGAGACGCCGCGCAUCGUGCGCAAGCUGUCGUGGGUGGAGAACCUUUGGCCGGGGGAAUCGGCGCGCGAGCGGCCGAGCCUGCAGAAGUUCUGCCUGCUGGGGGCCAGGGACAGCUUCACCGACUUCCACAUCGACAGGGGGGGGGCCUCGGCCUGGUGCCACGUCCUCAGGGUACGGGGGGGGCGGUUGUGGGGCUGCGCGGGGCGGUUAUGGGGCUGUGUGGGGUGGUUAUGGGGCUGCGC
This 1012-nucleotide long non-coding RNA is filed under the name Phasianus colchicus (ring-necked pheasant). RNAcentral describes it as "lncRNA (ENSPCLG00000016865.1)". Lineage: Eukaryota; Metazoa; Chordata; Aves; Galliformes; Phasianidae. The record is from RNAcentral.